UGGGGAAUAUUGCACAAUGGGCGCAAGCCUGAUGCAGCCAUGCCGCGUGUAUGAAGAAGGCCUUCGGGUUGUAAAGUACUUUCAGAGGGGAGGAAGGCGAUGUGGUUAAUAACCGCGUCGAUUGACGUUACCCGCAGAAGAAGCACCGGCUAACUCCGUGCCAGCAGCCGCGGUAAUACGGAGGGUGCAAGCGUUAAUCGGAAUUACUGGGCGUAAAGCGCACGCAGGCGGCCUGUCAAGUCGGAUGUGAAAUCCCCGGGCUCAACCUGGGAACUGCAUCCGAAACUGGCAGGCUUGAGUCUCGUAGAGGGGGGUAGAAUUCCAGGUGUAGCGGUGAAAUGCGUAGAGAUCUGGAGGAAUACCGGUGGCGAAGGCGGCCCCCUGGACGAAGACUGACGCUCAGGUGCGAAAGCGUGGGGAGCAAACA
This 427-nucleotide ribosomal RNA is filed under the name uncultured bacterium. RNAcentral's name for it is "partial 16S ribosomal RNA". It matches the Rfam family "Bacterial small subunit ribosomal RNA", at positions 355 to 774 of the family's 1533-position model. The record is from RNAcentral.